UGGGGAAUAUUGGACAAUGGGCGAAAGCCUGAUCCAGCCAUGCCGCGUGUGUGAAGAAGGCCUUAUGGUUGUAAAGCACUUUAAGCGAGGAGGAGGGUACUGGUAUUAAUACUACCAGGUACUGGACGUUACUCGCAGAAUAAGCACCGGCUAACUCUGUGCCAGCAGCCGCGGUAAUACAGAGGGUGCGAGCGUUAAUCGGAUUUACUGGGCGUAAAGCGUGCGUAGGCGGCUAAUUGAGUCGGAUGUGAAAGCCCCGGGCUCAACCUGGGAACUGCAUCCAAAACUGGCGAGCUAGAGUAGGGCAGAGGGUGGUGGAAUUUCCUGUGUAGCGGUGAAAUGCGUAGAUAUAGGAAGGAACACCAGUGGCGAAGGCGACCACCUGGGCUCAUACUGACACUGAGGUGCGAAAGCGUGGGGAGCAAACAGG
Molecule: ribosomal RNA, 430 nt
Filed under: Pseudomonadota bacterium
Lineage: Bacteria; Pseudomonadati; Pseudomonadota
Description: Proteobacteria bacterium partial 16S ribosomal RNA
Rfam family: Bacterial small subunit ribosomal RNA
Source: RNAcentral